RNAcentral lists this ribosomal RNA (292 nucleotides) under uncultured bacterium. RNAcentral describes it as "partial 16S ribosomal RNA". It matches the Rfam family "Bacterial small subunit ribosomal RNA", at positions 505 to 796 of the family's 1533-position model. The record is from RNAcentral.
GUGCCAGCAGCCGCGGUAAUACGUAGGGUGCGAGCGUUGUCCGGAAUUAUUGGGCGUAAAGAGCUCGUAGGCGGCCUGUUGCGUCUGCUGUGAAAGCCCGGGGCUUAACCCCGGGUCUGCAGUGGAUACGGGCAGGCUAGAGUUCGGCAGGGGAGACUGGAAUUCCUGGUGUAGCGGUGAAAUGCGCAGAUAUCAGGAGGAACACCGGUGGCGAAGGCGGGUCUCUGGGCCGAUACUGACGCUGAGGAGCGAAAGCGUGGGGAGCGAACAGGAUUAGAUACCCCCGUAGUCC